Molecule: ribosomal RNA, 433 nt
Filed under: uncultured bacterium
Lineage: Bacteria
Description: partial 16S ribosomal RNA
Rfam family: Bacterial small subunit ribosomal RNA
Source: RNAcentral
AACGAACGCUGGCGGCAUGCCUAACACAUGCAAGUCGAACGAGACCUUCGGGUCUAGUGGCGCACGGGUGCGUAACGCGUGGGAACCUGCCCUUAGGUUCGGAAUAACUCCCCGAAAGGGGUGCUAAUACCGGAUAAUGUCUUCGGACCAAAGAUUUAUCGCCUUUGGAUGGGCCCGCGUUGGAUUAGCUAGUUGGUAGGGUAAAAGCCUACCAAGGCGACGAUCCAUAGCUGGUCUGAGAGGAUGAUCAGCCACACUGGGACUGAGACACGGCCCAGACUCCUACGGGAGGCAGCAGUGGGGAAUAUUGGACAAUGGGCGAAAGCCUGAUCCAGCAAUGCCGCGUGAGUGGUGAAGGCCUUAGGGUUGUAAAGCUCUUUUACCCGGGAUUAUAAUGACAGUACCGGGAGAAUAAGCGCCGGCUAACUCCGUG